UUGAAACAUCCUGCAGAAACUUUUAAAUUCUUUCUGAAAUGGAUCACAAGUUUCCCUUUCCCUUUAGACUGAAGUACAGACAGGAUUUCACCUUGCUGUCAUGAUAACUAGUAUGGUCUCAGACAGUAACCACCAGGGCCAGUGACACACAGAACUAGUUGCCCUGCACAGAGGGUCCUCCAGCUGCUAUACCUUUCAACUCUUGUGCCUUUUACAGUUUUUCUGUUUCCUCCUGCUCUGUUUGGUUGUUACUCUUACAUGAGAGUUAGCCUUGUAGCUGCCGUUCACACAGAAGUGUUGUAGUUGAUCAAUUUGGCUGCGCCUGGUUUUAGCCGCAAUACAAGGGAUCUUCCCUCUUCAUUGCGGCAUGCGGGAUCUUUAGUUGCAGCGUGGAGAAUCUGGUGCCCUGNNNNNNNNNNNNNNNNNNNNNNNNNNNNGUUGGGAGCCUACACUGGAGCAUGAGGGUAGACCCUAUAAAACAUUUUUGAAAAGACCACAUUUUGGAGAUUAAAAAUAGAUGAAUGGUUUCCAAAGAUUGGGGAGUGGGUGGGUGGCAGAGAGGUAGGUCUGCCUCUGAAAGGGUAAUGUGGGGAGCUCUGUGGUAAUGGGAGAGUUCUCUACCUUAGCUGUGAUGUUGGCUACACAAAUGUGUACAUGUGAUAAAACUGCAUAGAACUGAACACAUAUAUUGUAACAUUGCUUGUUUCCCAAUCUCAAUUGUGUACUAGAGUUAUGCAAAAUGCUCCUGUAUUAGGGAAAUUGGGUGAAGAGUGAGUAGCACUCUCCCUACAUGUUUUUGCAAUUUCCUGUGAAUCUGCAGUUAUUUCUUCUGUUUUAAAAAACACUUGCUUAAAAAAAAAAAAAACCGUUGAAUUUGUUACAGUAUUACUUCUCUUUUAUAGUUUGAUUUUUUUUGGCUGCAAGGCAUAUGGGAUCUUAGCGCCCCAACCAGGGAUCGAACCCUUACCCCCUGCAUUGGAAGGCUAAGUCUUAACUACUGGACCACCAAGGAAGUCCCUGCAGUUAUUUCAAAAUAAAAAGUUUUUUUUUUAAUAUAGCAACAUUCCUAUGACAUAAUGCUAAAUGCAGAAAGCAAAAUAAAUGUGUUUCUCUCUGUGUGUGUGUACAUGCAUGUACGCUUAAAA
Molecule: long non-coding RNA, 1145 nt
Filed under: Capra hircus (goat)
Lineage: Eukaryota; Metazoa; Chordata; Mammalia; Artiodactyla; Bovidae
Description: lncRNA (ENSCHIG00010013055.1)
Source: RNAcentral